This 758-nucleotide long non-coding RNA is filed under the name Mytilus galloprovincialis (Mediterranean mussel). The record is from RNAcentral. Lineage: Eukaryota; Metazoa; Mollusca; Bivalvia; Mytilida; Mytilidae.
UCUAAACAUACAUUAUUUCUGUGAUUCUCGUCAUGUUGAAAUGAUUGUAUAAAUUAGUAUUUGUAAGUUAUACUGUAUGUAGUGUGAAAUUUGCGUUUAGUCUCCACCUAAAUGACACAGGAGUUUGUGAAUUCCUACAGUAAGUUGAUUUUUUUAAAAACACAAUGCUGUUAUGAUUAUUUUCCUAAUGCACAGAAUAUUUCCCAACGAUAAAUUUGCUAUUUUUCAAUUAUUCCAUCCAAGCAUAACAAAGUAUUAGUUUAGGCGUAAUGUUUCAACAUACGUUUCAAUUAUUCGAUACCAAUGGUUAUUCUGAAUAGAUCUGUGUCCCAGGCUAAGUUGUCAUAGAUAGCAGUGGAAGUUGUUUUUUGGUAUCGUAGUCUUUUGUUGUAUCAAAUCGUUUAUAUGUUUGACUUUCCAGACUGUUGGUUUCAAAUAAUCCAGAACCUAGAAACGCAUGUCGUACGUACGAAUUUGUUUUUAUACAUGUUGUAUAUAAAGGUUCCUUGAUGAUCAACUCUUUUAAUAGAAUUUUCAGUGAAUACGCACAUUAUUUACACAAUUAGAGGUUUUGAAUGAGUGCGGAAAGUUUAAUACCCUAAACGUGCUAAAAUGUACCGCCUCACUUAAUAUUAUGUUUUAAAUUGCUAUCAAUACUGUUUAAUAUUUACUUCUUUUCGUCUAAUUAUUUCAUAGUAACGACGAAAAUUGGGAACUGAUAUGCUGUCAAAACUACAAACUACAUCCCAACGCACAAG